CCUACGGGUGGCAGCAGUGAGGAAUAUUGGUCAAUGGACGAAAGUCUGAACCAGCCAAGUAGCGUGAAGGAUGACUGCCCUAUGGGUUGUAGACUUCUUUUGUAUGGGGAUAAAAUGUUGCACGUGUGGGAUUUUGUAUGUACCAUAUGAAUAAGGAUCGGCUAACUCCGUGCCAGCAGCCGCGGUAAUACGGAGGGUCCGAGCGUUAUCCGGAUUGAUUGGGUUUAAAGGGUGCGUAGGUGGAUCGGUAAGUCAGUUGUGAAAGUUUGCGGCUCAACCGUACCAGUGCAGUUGAAACUGGCAGUCUUGAGGGCAGUAGAGGUAGGCGGAAUGCGUGGUGUAGCGGUGAAAUGCUUAGAUAUCACGAAGAACCCCGAUUGCGAAGGCAGUUGACUGGACUGCCACUGACACUGAGGCUCGAAAGUGUGGGUAUCAAACAGGAUUAGAUACCCGAGUAGUC
This 460-nucleotide ribosomal RNA is filed under the name uncultured bacterium. RNAcentral describes it as "partial 16S ribosomal RNA". It matches the Rfam family "Bacterial small subunit ribosomal RNA", at positions 338 to 795 of the family's 1533-position model. The record is from RNAcentral.